UACAUAGGGUGCAAGCGUUGUUCGGAAUUAUUGGGCGUAAAGGGCGUGUAGGCGGCUUGCUAAGUCAUGUGUGAAAUCCCUCGGCUUAACCGAGGAACGACGCAUGAAACUGGCAAGCUAGAGUACCAAAGAGGGGGGUGGAAUUCCCGGUGUAGCGGUGAAAUGCGCAGAUAUCAGGAGGAACACCAAUUGCGAAGGCAGCUCGCUGGGACGUUACUGACGCUGAGACGCGAAAGCGUGGGGAGCAAACAGG
This 253-nucleotide ribosomal RNA is filed under the name uncultured bacterium. RNAcentral describes it as "partial 16S ribosomal RNA". It matches the Rfam family "Bacterial small subunit ribosomal RNA", at positions 524 to 776 of the family's 1533-position model. The record is from RNAcentral.